CGUCUCUGUGGCGUGCAAGCAUGUGUACGGCUUGAGCCUUCAUGGGAAUUAUCCUGUGAUUAAUCACUGGUUGUUGGCUGGGGUGGGGAGGUUUGCAGGGUGUCUGCAUUCACGUGGGUGUUUGUGUGUGUGUGUCCGAUUGUUCACAAGACUGUGUGACGUGAAGCCUUCUCAGCGAGAGGACAGGUGGCCGCGAUGCGUGGCCUCUUACAGGAAUCGCCCCGGUCCUUCUCUUUAGUGGAGGCCAGUGACGGGUCAGUGCAUUGGCUUGGAUGCAAAUGCACAUGCACAAACGCAUGCCAGUGGAGCGUGACGCAAUAACACGAAUUGCUGUCUGCGGCGCGGCAAUAUUCGAGACGGGAGAAAACAGGAAAUUUCGGGCAAGUCUCCUCGGCCGAGUGUCAUAGCACCUCCGCUUUCCACUCGCUUUUUCUCUCUCCUCCUGCUGCACAUGCUUACACAGACAAACACACGCAGUCGCACACACCCAGCCUCACACCGCCAGCCAGUCAGCCAGCCAGCCAGCCUUUCGCUCUUCACUCACACCCUCAAAUCUUACCAAGUUCAGCUCUCCCUGCUCAAAGGCAGACAGGAGCAGCACGGCAGCCUGUUAAACGAGUUGAGGGAAGGAGCAGCAGAGUCACAGAGAGAGACAUAGACGGGAAGGAGAGAAGGAGGGGAAGGGGGGCUGAAUGAGUGAAGGGAGAGCAAGGCAGAGAGAGUCACAGUUGCCCAUAUGCCGAGAGGAGCAUGGGCGGUUGAGCAACCUGGCCCCCACUGAGGCUUCCUGACUCAUGGGAGCGUCAGGAACCGGGUCCCAAGAGAGCCUGGAAAACGCUGCUGGAUCACGCGUGGUGGGAGAAGGAGGGGAGAGGAAAAAACUCUUGGAAGGGGAGGCAAGAGGCAAGACAAGCUGCAACGGUAGGCUGUCCCACUCAGCUGCUGUGCCGUGAUGACGUCGGCGGGCAUGUGACCCAGGGUCUCCAGUGACGCCGCAUGGAGGGCAGGAAAGAGACGAGUUUUAAAGCUGGUGCCUUUUGGGUUGUGUGAGGGCUCUGCUCGCCUCCCCAACAACCACAGAACCACAGACGUGCGGCUCGGGGUUGGUGUCUGAGGGCGACCUGGAGUGUAAAUGGUUAAUCGUCACGGGCCAACACCAGUCACAAGGACGGCGCUAAGCAAGACGUGUCGAGGGUCACAGAAACCGCAGAGGAACAAAAGUGGGGCUUGCUGGAACCAGAGGCAGCCAUGGCAUCUAACAGCCUCUUCAGCACAGUGACACCAUGUCAGCAAAACUUCUUCUGGGGUGAGUACCUACGUUCGCCGGUCGCCGAUUCUCUUCUGGAAACAGGUCGGUUGCGGGGCUUGGGUUCACGGAAAGGACUCGGUGUGGGGGGGGGAGGUCAGCUGCUGAGAUGCGGAUAACUUCUGUGAUGAGGAUAAAGAUCUUGGACCUGAAGAUCUUGAAGGAUUUGAAUCCAGACGAGGAUCAGCCGAGGUCACCGCCAUCAAUUUUUUGAGCAUUUGUGGUGGAAGAGAGAGACCCAACCGUCAUCAAGACUUUUUGACAAGUGACCAAAAAAAAAUAAAAAAUUAAAUCUGCACUGAGAGAUUCCAGUAUUUACUUAUAUGCAGUGUUUAUAAAUAUUCCUGGAAGAGGGAGAUGACAUGUUUGUGCAACGUACCCUUAGAUUUAGAGAGCGAUGCCAUUGCAGAACCAAAAACAAAGGCAGGGGUGAUAUUUUUGACAGACGUAAACAGCCGCUGCGCAAGGGAGUUUACAGUUGAGCAUUGGAACAAGAUGUGGGGAUUACUGGGCUGUGUGUGGGUUUAUGUGUCUCUGUUGGGAAUACAGUAUUGAUUAGGCUGCCAAGAGGGAUCUGUAAUCGCUUCCUAAAGCUGCUCGGUCGCUCUGCUGUCAUCAAUUAAUCUGUUUAGAUUUCCUCCAGCACCGCAGCGGCUUGAACCGGCUGACGGAAAUUCGGAACUGAGCAAACUCAUCAUAAACUCGGAUUUAGAACAACCACUUCGUUCUGAUUUUUAUUGGACGUCUAAAAAUAAUUCCUCGCCUCGGAUACUUUUUAAUCCCCUCGUUUCUCUGUUUGAAAUUAGGGGACAAAAAUAACUCCUGAACAGGAGCAGAGGCUACCUGGGAAGGCCAACUUGCAUGUUUCACUUAAGACCCCCUCCACCUCCACCCCUUCCUGUAGAUUUACUUUAAGCUGCUGUGACAGCUCUUUUACAGACUCUACUUCAAGGUUGCAAAAUUAACCAUAUUGCAUGGAUUUUUUUUUCCCAAAUUGAAGGAAGCAAAUAUUUCCUCCUGAUGCAAGACAUGUCUCCCUCCCUGCUCCGCUCCGCAGCUUUCGCUCGCCUUGUCCAAAUCAAACGCGUAAAAGAUGUUUUGCAGAAGUCGCUCCGUGGUCAGCCACAGCUGCUCCGUACAGAAGCAGGCUGCAGGGAAUGUGGAGAAAGAGAAAGAGAGAGAGAGAGGGAGCUUUCUAACAAUCACCGCCACCUAUUAACGCUCUAACCCCCUCUGACCUUUCGGCGAGUCUCUGGGGCACGAGAGGAUAAGAGAAAAAGAGCCUGCUGUGGUGCAUUCAGGUGUAGAUCUCUGCGGAUUUCAGGUAGGGAAGGAGAUGAAAGUGAUAAUUAGUUUAAGUGUAAAGGCAUUGCCGCUUGUUAUUUAAUGUCAGGCCCGAAAAAACUCAGUCCCCCUAAUCAAAAACAGAAAAACAUGAUUUAGUAUGUUUAACAUAUCAUGACAAUUGCAAGUGGCACCGUAAGUAGUUUUCCUUGAAUCGCUUCGUUAAAAUUCCCAAUGAAGUUUCAUCUUCGCUUCGCUUUAAAAGCUUCUAGUAAAUCCGUUUAAAUAAGAUCACAUUUUCAACUCCUUCUGUUGUCGUGUUUCGUUUGGUCCAGCGACAGUCUGUUUUCAUCAAACCCCCUCCCUUUGUUUGUUUGUUUGUUUGUUUGUUUUUUUCCACUCUGUCUGCACAUUGUUGCUUAUCGGGGACACUUUUAAUUCAAGACCCAGCUUUUUAUCCACAGCAAUAAACUGAGCUGGCGAAGAUUUCUAAUUAAGCAAAGACAGAGGAUCAUUAAAAUUUGUCUUGGCACUUUGCGUCAGGCACUUCUCAUUAAAUCGCUUCGAAAUCCAUUUUUCUUUUAUUAUAUCUCCUCAUACUGGCAGAUCAGAUGGAGAGGGGCAGAAUAAUCGACAACACGUGUGGCACCCACUCAACCGCCACUGCCUCUCUGGGGAACAUUUAACUGCCUAUUUUCUCUCUUACAAACCUAAUUACGUAUAGACAAUUAAGUCAUGGGUAGCAAUUAUCGUUCAAUAAAGUCGUGCAGGAACAGUAAAGAAUAAUAAAAAAAUAAAAAAAAGAAGAAGAAAAA
Poecilia latipinna (sailfin molly) is the source of this 3405-nucleotide long non-coding RNA. RefSeq lists it as uncharacterized. Lineage: Eukaryota; Metazoa; Chordata; Actinopteri; Cyprinodontiformes; Poeciliidae. The record is from RefSeq and is a predicted model, not a curated record. The transcript has 2 exons.